CUCGUAGGCGGCCAACUAAGUCAUACGUGAAAUCCCUCAGCUUAACUGGGGAACUGCGUGUGAUACUGGAUGGCUUGGAUUUGGGAGAGGGAUGCGGAAUUCCAGGUGUAGCGGUGAAAUGCGUAGAUAUCUGGAGGAACACCGGUGGCGGAGGCGGCAUCCUGGACCAAUAUUGACGCUGAGGAGCGAAAGCUAGGGGAAGACGAACG
Molecule: ribosomal RNA, 209 nt
Filed under: uncultured bacterium
Lineage: Bacteria
Description: partial 16S ribosomal RNA
Rfam family: Bacterial small subunit ribosomal RNA
Source: RNAcentral